AAACAUGCUCUCAUGGAAUGCAACACAUAAUCACAUCACCUCGGCCGGACGGAUCAAAACUCCCUCUAUCUCAUCUGGGGUACCUAAGUACCAUGUGCCUGGUCCCCGUAGGGCUGUUCCAGGUCUUUCCUCUGAGGGCUAAUGAAUCCUCACGAAGUCCGUGCCGUCUCACAUAAGCAAUGUACAAGGAGCAAUGCCAAGUACAAGGAUAAAUGCAAUGCAUCAUCUUUGUGUACACUAAUGCACUCACCCUAUAGCAUAUUCAUGAUGCAUGAAGCAUGAUAAAAUAUUCAGUU
This 296-nucleotide long non-coding RNA is filed under the name Manihot esculenta (cassava). RNAcentral's name for it is "long non-coding RNA (MESC_LNC009978)". Lineage: Eukaryota; Viridiplantae; Streptophyta; Magnoliopsida; Malpighiales; Euphorbiaceae. The record is from RNAcentral.